Molecule: long non-coding RNA, 441 nt
Filed under: Homo sapiens (human)
Lineage: Eukaryota; Metazoa; Chordata; Mammalia; Primates; Hominidae
Description: HSALNT0354553
Source: RNAcentral
UCAGUGGCAGGACAACCUGAUCAAAACUUAUGGCUGACACCCUAAAGAUAGCUUCACAUGGUAGCAAAAAUGAGCAAAACAGACUUGAGUUCUAAUUCCUCCUCCACUUUGGCCCAGUUGUUUCCACUUUCUGAGCCACUUAACUCAACUGUAAAUGUAGAAUGGCAAUCCAAACUUUAUUCUUGUGGAGUUUGAAUGAGCAUAUCUCAUUUUGGACUAGCCAUCUUUCAAGAGCUCAACAGCCACGUGCUAUUAAUGGCUACCACAUUAAAGGCUCCAAGUCUAGAUGGAAAAUAAACAAGUAAACCUAUAAACACAGUUAAUAGAUGUUUUUCAGCUGCAAUCUGUACUGUGACUGGAAUGAGAAAGCCUUAAUUCAUACCAUCUUCCGAUGAUACAAGACAAGCAAGUUUGUAAUUUAAUAAACGCAGUCAAACCUGA